GUUCAUUCGGGAACAUCCGAUAAAAUUGAAACAAUACAGAGAAGAUUAGCAUGACCCUUGCUCAAAGGAAGCAUUACUCAUUAAGAAACUUUAACAUUUGAG
This is a small nuclear RNA of Malus domestica (apple), 102 nucleotides long. NCBI's taxonomy places the organism in Eukaryota, Viridiplantae, Streptophyta, Magnoliopsida, Rosales, Rosaceae. The record is from RefSeq and is a predicted model, not a curated record.